Molecule: ribosomal RNA, 373 nt
Filed under: uncultured organism
Description: partial 16S ribosomal RNA
Rfam family: Bacterial small subunit ribosomal RNA
Source: RNAcentral
GUAGGUGGCAAGCGUUGUCCGGAAUUAUUGGGCGUAAAGCGCGCGCAGGCGGUCCUUUAAGUCUGAUGUGAAAGCCCACGGCUCAACCGUGGAGGGUCAUUGGAAACUGGGGGACUUGAGUACAGAAGAGGAAAGCGGAAUUCCAAGUGUAGCGGUGAAAUGCGUAGAGAUUUGGAGGAACACCAGUGGCGAAGGCGGCUUUCUGGUCUGUAACUGACGCUGAGGCGCGAAAGCGUGGGGAGCAAACAGGAUUAGAUACCCUGGUAGUCCACGCCGUAAACGAUGAGUGCUAAGUGUUAGGGGGUUUCCCGCCCCCCUUAGUGCUGCAGCUAACGCAUUAAGCACUCGCCUGGGGAGUACGGCCGCAAGGCUG